UGCGGAUGAACAUUAAGCUUGCUUUCAGGU
RNAcentral lists this non-coding RNA (30 nucleotides) under Mus musculus (house mouse). Lineage: Eukaryota; Metazoa; Chordata; Mammalia; Rodentia; Muridae. The record is from RNAcentral.